GAUUAUCUUCAGAAUCUGGGCACAGUGUAGAAUGCCUGUAAUUCCAGGGGCUCAGGAGGCUGAGGCAGGAGGAU
Molecule: microRNA precursor, 74 nt
Filed under: Ictidomys tridecemlineatus (thirteen-lined ground squirrel)
Lineage: Eukaryota; Metazoa; Chordata; Mammalia; Rodentia; Sciuridae
Description: miRNA (ENSSTOG00000033031.1)
Source: RNAcentral